AUUGAAACACUGGUUCCUAUAUGAUCACCAUAGUUAAGCAAUGCCAAGCCUGGUCAGUACCUAGAUUGGUGACUGCUUGGGAAUACAAGGUGCUGCAAG
Acanthosepion pharaonis is the source of this 99-nucleotide non-coding RNA. NCBI's taxonomy places the organism in Eukaryota, Metazoa, Mollusca, Cephalopoda, Sepiida, Sepiidae. The record is from the annotation of a GenBank genome assembly.